Long non-coding RNA from Zophobas morio, 550 nucleotides. RefSeq lists it as uncharacterized. The record is from RefSeq and is a predicted model, not a curated record. Lineage: Eukaryota; Metazoa; Arthropoda; Insecta; Coleoptera; Tenebrionidae. The transcript is spliced from 5 exons.
UGAUAAGACAGUUACGGUUUUGUAGUCGGUGCUUAUUAUGGUUUUGGUUUUGACAUACGAAAUUGAAGGUUUUUAACUUUGAUGUGGUCAUAGAACGUAUGGUGUCCAUUGGUGAAUAAUUGGUUGCAGGGUUUACAGUGGAUAAUGAUAGGAGCCAAUCGACUACACCCGAACAGGAAAUAAGGACGAAAAUAGGAACGAAUAAGAAAGGCGAAGAGCUGUAAGAAUCCCUAUCCUAAGAAGCACUGGAGGCCGAAGCGGAUUGUCCAGAUCGUCGUGACGAAAAACGGUUGAGGGGUCCAAGUGUCGCGGGGGUAACGAGAAACCGCAACCAGUACUGCCCGAAGUGGUCCCCACAAGUCCUAGCGUCAUGCGAUGGAGAGACGCUGAAAAAGAAGGUGAAAAUGAGUAUCGACGUGACUCGAUAGGAAAUACGAAAAACUUGGCUUCUUAUCGAGACUUGGCUGUUAUCACCAAGCCCCGUCAAAGAAACGAGCGAAAGAAGCCAAUUAAUAGGAUAAUGGAGCCGUACUUUGGAGCCUUUAAAAUU